Molecule: long non-coding RNA, 1495 nt
Organism: Solanum lycopersicum (tomato)
Lineage: Eukaryota; Viridiplantae; Streptophyta; Magnoliopsida; Solanales; Solanaceae
Source: RefSeq, a predicted model, not a curated record
UACCACAUCUAGGUAUCAAUUUAAUCCCCUGGGACAAAUCAUUUUGGGCCUCUUAUAUUUAACUUGUCAGCAACCCAUCUCCCAUUUUAUUCCAAAUAACUUCCCAUUUUCAGAUUUUGGCCCAGCUCACCCCGUAAUUCCCUUUAAUUCUGAGCCCCAAAAUCAUCCUAGCCAAUCUAAAUGAACCCGGCCCACCUUUUCCCAAUAACCGGCCCAAAUACCCUUUCUCAUCUUCAACAAACUACAAAGAAAUCUAGAAUCUCCAGCGCAACAGAGGAUCCAAUGAAAAUACACGGAGUGGACGACGACAAGCGCGUGGGCAGCAACGCGGAAACUCCCUCCAUGAUUCCAACGAUUUCAAACGAUUGAGUGCGUGAAGAAGACUUUCACAUCCAUUGGCGCGUGACUCAUGACCAGCGUCACCUUUCAUGCGUACAACAGGGUACCUAGCACCCCAAGGACAAGCAUCGAUCCUAGCCUCCCACCCCCUUUCCUCUUCUGGAAUGAGUCAAAUUCUUAAAAGAAAAGAGUGAUUCCCUUAAUAGUGAAAGUUUUUCUCUUUUCAAAUUUUGAAUUCGUUUUUCCCCCCUUUGGAGAACCCUAAUUCUGGGCAUAUAUGUUCUUUUUUUCUUCACACAAGGGAUGGGGUUUUUGUUUGGGGGAAAAUUCUAGUAGGAAAUUUUCACUAAUGCAAAGAAAGCUUAAGAGAAAUAAUGUAGAAUACACUUAAGUAUACUCUGUGAACAUAGAAGAUACUAUUUUAGUGUAUAAGUUCAAUCUUCUGUUCGGAUUCUUUGCUUAUUGUUCGCGUGCAAGUCUUCUCGUGGUAAAGUUUGACUCCUGCUCGCCUAGUCACGGUCUUGCUGCCCUGAAGAAGACCCCAUCCUCACAUUUUCAUUUGGACCAUGGAGGAUCGAAUUUUGAUCUUCCGAGUCAACCAUUCAAUAAAUCCACGGACAUGUCUCGAAGUUUAAGGAAUUGAAGAAAGUCCAAGAAAUUGGAUAAGAAGACCCCUUUAUUUUCAUAUGUUAUAUUUUUAUUAUGUAAUGGGCCUAAGCCAUUGCUGCUUUUUACUAUUAUCUGAUCAGUUUAGGGCAGGUGCAAGUCGAGUGGGCCUAAGACCCACCGAUAAGGGUCUAAAUUCUUGUCCAGGCGGACAGAAAACCCAGAUUUGGACCCAACUCUCUCCUCUCUCUCUCUCUCUCUUCUUUAUAUCCACUUUACUUGUCGUUAGUUUUAAAGUUAAAGAAUCCAAAUUCUCGCAAACUGCAUAAAUAUUUUAAUUCCAAAUGAAUUCUUUCAAACUAACUCUAGGUAAUUUUUACAAGUUAGAUUAUUUUUGCCAAAUAGAUUAGUUGUUUGGAUAACAACAAGUAAGCGGACGUCUUAGAUGCUUUCAAAAUCUUCCUAAGACGAUAAUAAGAAUCCUGACCUCCCCAAAAAAACUUUCGUUUGAUUUUUUAUUUUUGAUUAAAUGGAUGAUUAGUUUUCUUAA